GAUGAACGCUAGCUACAGGCUUAACACAUGCAAGUCGAGGGGCAGCAUGGUCUUAGCUUGCUAAGGCCGAUGGCGAUCGGCGCACGGGUGAGUAACACGUAUCCAACCUGCCGUCUACUCUUGGACAGCCUUCUGAAAGGAAGAUUAAUACAAGAUGGCAUCAUGAGUCCACAUGUUCACAUGAUUAAAGGUAUUCCGGUAGACGAUGGGGAUGCGUUCCAUUAGAUAGUAGGCGGGGUAACGGCCCACCUAGUCUUCGAUGGAUAGGGGUUCUGAGAGGAAGGUCCCCCACAUUGGAACUGAGACACGGUCCAAACUCCUACGGGAGGCAGCAGUGAGGAAUAUUGGUCAAUGGGCGAGAGUCUGAACCAGCCAAGUAGCGUGAAGGAUGACUGCCCUAUGGGUUGUAAACUUCUUUUAUAAAGGAAUAAAGUCGGGUAUGGAUACCCGUUUGCAUGUACUUUAUGAAUAAGGAUCGGCUAACUCCGUGCCAGCAGCCGCGGUAAUACGGAGGAUCCGAGCGUUAUCCGGAUUUAUUGGGUUUAAAGGGAGCGUAGAUGGAUGUUUAAGUCAGUUGUGAAAGUUUGCGGCUCAACCGUAAAAUUGCAGUUGAUACUGGAUAUCUUGAGUGCAGUUGAGGCAGGCGGAAUUCGUGGUGUAGCGGUGAAAUGCUUAGAUAUCACGAAGAACUCCGAUUGCGAAGGCAGCCUGCUAAGCUGCAACUGACAUUGAGGCUCGAAAGUGUGGGUAUCAAACAGGAUUAGAUACCCUGGUAGUCCACACGGUAAACGAUGAAUACUCGCUGUUUGCGAUAUACAGCAAGCGGCCAAGCGAAAGCGUUAAGUAUUCCACCUGGGGAGUACGCCGGCAACGGUGAAACUCAAAGGAAUUGACGGGGGCCCGCACAAGCGGAGGAACAUGUGGUUUAAUUCGAUGAUACGCGAGGAACCUUACCCGGGCUUAAAUUGCAGAUGAAUUACGGUGAAAGCCGUAAGCCGCAAGGCAUCUGUGAAGGUGCUGCAUGGUUGUCGUCAGCUCGUGCCGUGAGGUGUCGGCUUAAGUGCCAUAACGAGCGCAACCCUUGUUGUCAGUUACUAACAGGUUCCGCUGAGGACUCUGACAAGACUGCCAUCGUAAGAUGUGAGGAAGGUGGGGAUGACGUCAAAUCAGCACGGCCCUUACGUCCGGGGCUACACACGUGUUACAAUGGGGGGUACAGAGGGCCGCUACCACGCGAGUGGAUGCCAAUCCCAAAAACCUCUCUCAGUUCGGACUGGAGUCUGCAACCCGACUCCACGAAGCUGGAUUCGCUAGUAAUCGCGCAUCAGCCACGGCGCGGUGAAUACGUUCCCGGGCCU
This 1358-nucleotide ribosomal RNA is filed under the name uncultured bacterium. Its description in RNAcentral is "bacterial SSU rRNA". It matches the Rfam family "Bacterial small subunit ribosomal RNA", at positions 28 to 1381 of the family's 1533-position model. The record is from RNAcentral.